This 442-nucleotide ribosomal RNA is filed under the name uncultured bacterium. Its description in RNAcentral is "partial 16S ribosomal RNA". It matches the Rfam family "Bacterial small subunit ribosomal RNA", at positions 338 to 795 of the family's 1533-position model. The record is from RNAcentral.
CCUACGGGUGGCUGCAGUGGGGAAUAUUGGGCAAUGGACGCAAGUCUGACCCAGCAACGCCGCGUGAAGGAAGAAGGCUUUCGGGUUGUAAACUUCUUUUAAGGGGGAAGAGCAGAAGACGGUACCCCUUGAAUAAGCCACAGCUAACUACGUGCCAGCAGCCGCGGUAAUACGUAGGUGGCAAGCGUGGUCCGGCGUUGCUGGGGGUAAAGGGCGUGCAGCCGGAGAGACAAGGCAGAGGUGAAAUCCGAAGGAUCAAACUGCGAACUGCAUUUGAAACUGUUUCCCUUGAGUAUCGGAGAGGUCAUCGGAAUUCCUAGUGUAGCGGUGAAAUGCGUAGAUAUCACGAAGAACCCCGAUUGCGAAGGCAGCUUACUAAACUGUGACUGACAUUGAUGCUCGAAAGUGUGGGUAUCAAACAGGAUUAGAUACCCGGGUAGUC